This 520-nucleotide ribosomal RNA is filed under the name uncultured Glomus. RNAcentral describes it as "SSU rRNA". It matches the Rfam family "Eukaryotic small subunit ribosomal RNA", at positions 569 to 1091 of the family's 1831-position model. Lineage: Eukaryota; Fungi; Glomeromycota; Glomeromycetes; Glomerales; Glomeraceae. The record is from RNAcentral.
CGCAGCCGCGGUAAUUCCAGCUCCAAUAGCGUAUAUUAAAGUUGUUGCAGUUAAAAAGCUCGUAGUUGAAUUUCGGGACCAAUUUGUUGGUCGUGCCUCGGUACGUACUGAUAUUAUUGGUUUCUCCCUUCUGAAGAACCAUGAUGCCAUUAAUUUGGUGUCGUGGGGAAUCAGGACUGUUACUUUGAAAAAAUUAGAGUGUUUAAAGCAGGCUUUCGCUUGAAUACAUUAGCAUGGAAUAAUGAAAUAGGACGUUUGAUUCUAUUUUGUUGGUUUCUAGGAUCGACGUAAUGAUUAAUAGGGAUAGUUGGGGGCAUUAGUAUUCAAUUGUCAGAGGUGAAAUUCUUGGAUUUAUUGAAGACUAACUACUGCGAAAGCAUUUGCCAAGGAUGUUUUCAUUAAUCAAGAACGAAAGUUAGGGGAUCGAAGACGAUCAGAUACCGUCGUAGUCUUAACCAUAAACUAUGCCGACUAGGGAUCGGAUGAUGUUAAUUUUUAAUGUACUCAUUCGGCGCCUUAC